GGUCAAUGAUGUGAUGUAAAAGGUCUGACACCGUCGUCUCCUUCCAGUCCCUUUUCUUCCCUCCCAGCAGCUCCUCAUGAGUUUUCCCAGCACGCUGGAGUUGUGCGUUGCUGGUUUGAGGUGGCAGCUGAUAUUAUGGAUGUUUUUGCUGAAUUAAGAGUCUUUUGAAGAACUAGAGACUCGAAUCAGCAGCGUCCAACAUCAACGUAACACACAGGAGGGCGGGACUCAAAGAGAACGUAAAACCGGCCCGUGAUCUCAAGUUUUCAAGCUGAGACC
Xyrauchen texanus (razorback sucker) is the source of this 279-nucleotide non-coding RNA. RefSeq annotates it as small Cajal body-specific RNA 6. NCBI's taxonomy places the organism in Eukaryota, Metazoa, Chordata, Actinopteri, Cypriniformes, Catostomidae. The record is from RefSeq and is a predicted model, not a curated record. The transcript has a single exon.